RNAcentral lists this ribosomal RNA (497 nucleotides) under uncultured bacterium. RNAcentral's name for it is "partial 16S ribosomal RNA". It matches the Rfam family "Bacterial small subunit ribosomal RNA", at positions 28 to 507 of the family's 1533-position model. The record is from RNAcentral.
GAUGAACGCUGGCGGCGUGCCUAAUACAUGCAAGUCGAGCGAACGGACGAGAAGCUUGCUUCUCUGAUGUUAGCGGCGGACGGGUGAGUAACACGUGGAUAACCUACCUAUAAGACUGGGAUAACUUCGGGAAACCGGAGCUAAUACCGGAUGAUAUUUUGAACCGCAUGGUUCAAAAGUGAAAGACGGUCUUGCUGUCACUUAUAGAUGGAUCCGCGCUGCAUUAGCUAGUUGGUAAGGUAACGGCUUACCAAGGCAACGAUGCAUAGCCGACCUGAGAGGGUGGUCAGCCACACUGGAACUGAGACACGGUCCAGACUCCUACGGGAGGCAGCAGUAGGGAAUCUUCCGCAAUGGGCGGAAGCCUGACGGAGCAACGCCGCGUGAGUGAUGAAGGUCUUCGGAUCGUAAAACUCUGUUAUUAGGGAAGAACAUAUGUGUAAGUAACUGUGCACAUCUUGACGGUACCUAAUCAGAAAGCCACGGCUAACUACGUG